GACCUGCUUGCUUGGGGGGCGGUACGCUGCGGGCGUGCCGUCCCGUUCGUUUGAGCUGAGUGUGGAUCU
RNAcentral lists this transfer RNA (69 nucleotides) under Deinococcus radiotolerans. RNAcentral describes it as "tRNA-Arg". The record is from RNAcentral. Lineage: Bacteria; Thermotogati; Deinococcota; Deinococci; Deinococcales; Deinococcaceae.